GUGCCAGCAGCCGCGGUAAUACGUAGGGGGCAAGCGUUGUCCGGAUUUACUGGGUGUAAAGGGCGCGCAGGCGGGUUGACAAGUCAGAGGUGAAAUCCUACAGCUUAACUGUAGAACUGCCUUUGAGACUGUCAAUCUUGAGUACGGAAGAGAGAUGGAAUUCCAGGUGUAGUGGUGAAAUACGUAGAUAUCUGGAAGAACACCAGUGGCGAAGGCGGUCUCUUGGCCCUAUACUGACGCUAAGGCGCGAAAGCGUGGGGAGCAAACAGGAUUAGAAACCCCUGUAGUCC
This 290-nucleotide ribosomal RNA is filed under the name uncultured bacterium. RNAcentral's name for it is "partial 16S ribosomal RNA". It matches the Rfam family "Bacterial small subunit ribosomal RNA", at positions 505 to 796 of the family's 1533-position model. The record is from RNAcentral.